ACCUGCUAGAAUAAGCACCGGCUAACUACGUGCCAGUCAGCCGUCGGUAAUACGUAGGGUGCUAAGCGUUAAUCGGAAUUACUGGGCGUAAAGCGUGCGUCAGGCGGUUCGGAAAGAAAGAUGUGAAAUCCCAGAGCUUAACUUUGGAACUGCAUUUUUAACUACCGGGCUAGAGUGUGUCAGAGGGAGGUGGAAUUCCGCGUGUAGCAGUGAAAUGCGUAGAUAUGCGGAGGAACACCGAUGGCGAAGGCAGCCUCCUGGGAUAACACUGACGCUCAUGCACGAAAGCGUGGGGAGCAAACAGGAUUAGAUACCCUGGUAG
This 322-nucleotide ribosomal RNA is filed under the name uncultured bacterium. RNAcentral describes it as "bacterial SSU rRNA". It matches the Rfam family "Bacterial small subunit ribosomal RNA", at positions 476 to 793 of the family's 1533-position model. The record is from RNAcentral.